ACGAAUGGAAAAAAUACCAAAGGCCACUGAAAAAGUUUAUUGAAGUUUAUUAAAGUUUAUCCUUUCUGCCUUUACUUGUUUACUAGUAUAGUUUUACUAAACUUGCCAUUGUUUACUGUUGACACCAGAUUGCUGUGAUGUUCCUCAGUGACGCUGGAUAAAUGUAAAUGUGCUGGGUAAUGUGUGUCUUUGUCUGUAGGCAGAGGGAAGAGUUCACUGAUGGUUUGCUGGUGUUCCUGAGUAACAGUGGGUCAGUGGUUAAGGAGUCAGACUGUGGGUGAGAAGGUUGCAGGUUCGAUUCCAGGUCAGAGCGGGUUGUGUUUGUUCAGACUGUGGCUGGUCCCAGUGUGGCUGUGAGCUGAUCAGUGCUAUAGUCCUGGACGCCACACAGAGUGAUGCUGGUUCCUGCCGACAGGGCCUGUCGAGGCCUCGGGUUCCCUGUGCGAUGGUGCCACACACAUGUUCGGAUGAACUGCUGCUUACCUUUAUUUCCUUCUACAUGCAGCUGACUUCCAGUUCAUCGCUGUCUCUGGAGCUUCAGCUUGCCAAGCUCUCCAGUGCAGGACGUAAUGAGCACGCCACGGUUGUUCAAGAGACUCUGGAAAGAACUGGCACAUGAGGGAGUCGUGAGAGACGAGCUGGAGAAAGAACUGGCCGAUCAGAUCAGCAUCAUCUCAGAGAAAGGUCUCCUUUAUGCUGCCUGAAGUGAAUGAGAUAAAAUGUGGUGCUCUAAUGUGAUGUUGGUUGAAUUUGUCUCUUUUUUUAUGCACACAGAGGGUCUGAUUUCACAGUUGCAGGACAAGGUGAAGCGAAUGGUUAGGGAACAAGGAGCGCUGACGAAGCAUCAUAAAGCGGGAAUAAAGGACACAUUUGGGUUUACAGUAAUUAUUUGAAUAAAAAUUUUUUUCUGCAGAGUGCAUGAGGUUGUAAAGCAAUGCCAAGAAUUAAAACUGAAAACACUCAGUAAGAGAGAAAGACUGAUGUACUAACAAAGGAGAACCAAGCUUUUACUGCUCAGGUCAGAUACUAUGUUUUCCCCUCCUUUCUGUUUUUCUAACCUGUUUAAAACGGAUUCCUCUUUCACACUUGGCCCAUCAGGCUCGAAACACCUUCACUCAGCUGGCGAGAGCCCAGGAGGAAGUUGCCAAACUUACACUGGCUCACGAAUCGGCACAAGCUGCAUCAAAUGAUUGGGGCCCAGCAUGGAGGUGAGUAUGGAGGACUAUAAGUGAUGCUUAGAACUAUGAAAUCAAUUGAAUAAAUUCAAGUAAAAAUGGAAAUAAAAUAUUUUUUAGAUAGACAAAUUGAUAGCCGUAUUUAAAACUUUGAUUCAUGCUUUAAAAUGUUGCUUUUUACUUAUUUUAUUUUUUACCUUUUUUAAAUUGUGAAUCAAAUAUUUUUCCCUUUUAAAAAAUAUGAGUCUCAGUGAUUUUCAUUAGCAGAUCAUUUUGGGUUUUGUCCACAUAAAUAUCAGCAUCUGCACCAAAUUGCAUAUUUUUGCUCAAUUUGGGCCUUUGAAAAUUAAUAUGAGCGCCAUAUUCUACUAUAUGAGCCAUAAAAGCCUGAUGAACUAGAUACUGUAUGUACUCAACAAAAACACAUGCAAACUUUAUAUUUUGUCUAAAGGUUCAGUAAUCUAUUUUAUCUCUUUUGAGUGAAGUGUAAAUGUGCGAUCCUUUAGUAGCAGUGCAUUGGUACAGAUGAUGCAAGGAAGUUAGCGAGCUGCAUCUCUCAGACAGUGACGCUUAGGAACGCUAACACAACUUCAAACUCUCAGGUAAGGAACUUUAUAUAUUUUUAGGGGAAGUCGUGGCCUAAUGGUUAGAGAGUCUGACUCCCAAUCGAAGGGUUGUAAGUUCGAGUCUCGGGCUGGCAGGAAUUGUGGGUGGGGGGAGUGCAUGUAAAGUUCUCUCUCCACCUUCAAUACCAUGACUGAGGUGUCCUUGAGCAAGGCAUCGAACCCCCAACUGCUCCC
This is a long non-coding RNA of Cyprinus carpio carpio, 1975 nucleotides long. The record is from Ensembl. NCBI's taxonomy places the organism in Eukaryota, Metazoa, Chordata, Actinopteri, Cypriniformes, Cyprinidae.